UUCUUAUCCAGAGUGGCGGAGGGAUCGGCCCGUAGAUGCCACAGCAACCGCUCCUCCCCCUAUCCCCCUCAAUGAGGGGGAUAGGGGGAGGGGGGCAGGUGCUAAAUCCGGCAAGGUAAUGGGGAAUAGAUUUCAAAUCUGUCCCCGUAAAAUCCUUGGAAGAUAAGAU
Molecule: non-coding RNA, 169 nt
Filed under: Deltaproteobacteria bacterium
Lineage: Bacteria; Pseudomonadati; Myxococcota; Myxococcia
Description: SAM-I sequence
Rfam family: SAM riboswitch aptamer (S box leader)
About the family: The SAM riboswitch is found upstream of a number of genes which code for proteins involved in methionine or cysteine biosynthesis in Gram-positive bacteria. The SAM riboswitch acts at the level of transcription termination control. The predicted structure consists of a complex stem-loop region followed by a single stem loop terminator region.
Source: RNAcentral